GUAGGUGAACCUGCGGAAGGAUCAUUACAACGUAUCCACGUAUAAACAAACGCGAACAGUCCUUUGGACGCGUAAACCAGAACAAGCUGGCAUGAAGUUAACCGGUCGAACUGCUAAUUAAUGCGCUUCGUAGAUGGAGCUUUGCUUGGAACAAGUCCGAGCAGCUUGGAGCGUCAGUUCUUGGCCCGGAACAGCACUCGUGCAUUUCCGAACUUCGUUACGCCCAAAGAGUAUUUCCCACCAUCGGGAA
This 250-nucleotide unclassified non-coding RNA is filed under the name plant metagenome. Its description in RNAcentral is "partial contains small subunit ribosomal RNA, internal transcribed spacer 1, and 5.8S ribosomal RNA". The record is from RNAcentral.